GCAAAUUAUGAGUGUUGGAGUGUUCCCCUGGCUACCUGUAAUGAUGUCUGAGUGUUGGAGUGUUCCCCUGACUAUCUGUAAUGAUGUCUGAGUGAUGGAGUGUUCCCCUGACUAUCUGUAAUGAUGUCUGAGUGAUGGAGUGUUCCCCUGACUAUCUGUAAUGAUGUCUGAGUGAUGGAGUGUUCCCCUGACUAUCUGUAAUGAUGUCUGAGUGAUGGAGUGUUCCCCUGACUAUCUGUAAUGAUGUCUGAGUGAUGGAGUGUUCCCCUGACUAUCUGUAAUGAUGUCUGAGUGUUGAGUUGUUCCCCUGGCUAUCUGUAAUGAUGUCUGAGUUGUUCCCUGGCUAUCUGUAAUGAUAUCUGAGUGUUGGAGUGUUCCCCUGGCUAUCUGUAAUGAUGUCUGAGUGUUGGAGUGUUCCCCUGGCUAUCUGUAAAUGAUGUCUGAGUGUUGGAGUGUUCCCCUGGCUGUCUGUAAAUGAUGUCUGAGUGUUGGAGUGUUCCCCUGGCUAUCUGUAAAUGAUGUCUGAGUGUUGGAGUGUUCCCCUGGCUAUCUGUAAAUGAUGUCUGAGUGUUGGAGUGUUCCCCUGGCUAUCUGUAAAUGAUGUCUGAGUGUUGGAGUGUUCCCCUGGCUGUCUGUAAAUUAUGUCUGAGUGUUGGAGUGUUCCCCUGGCUAUCUGUAAAUGAUGUCUGAGUGUUGGAGUGUUCCCCUGGCUGUCUGUAAAUGAUGUCUGAGUGUUGGAGUGUUCCCCUGGCUAUCUGUAAAUGAUGUCUGAGUGUUGGAGUGUUCCCCUGGC
Oncorhynchus tshawytscha (Chinook salmon) is the source of this 793-nucleotide long non-coding RNA. The record is from Ensembl. NCBI's taxonomy places the organism in Eukaryota, Metazoa, Chordata, Actinopteri, Salmoniformes, Salmonidae.